GCGAGAGUGGCGGAAUUGGCAGACGCGCUGGAUUUAGGAUCCAGUGCCUUCGGGCGUGCAGGUUCAACUCCUGUCUCUCGCA
RNAcentral lists this transfer RNA (82 nucleotides) under Myxococcales bacterium. RNAcentral's name for it is "tRNA-Leu". It matches the Rfam family "tRNA". From Rfam's summary of the family: Transfer RNA (tRNA) molecules are approximately 80 nucleotides in length. RNAcentral also lists the same sequence under 3 other names. Lineage: Bacteria; Pseudomonadati; Myxococcota; Myxococcia; Myxococcales. The record is from RNAcentral.